AAGUCGUAACAAGGUAACCGUAGGUGAACCUGCGGUUGGAUCAUUAAAAAGGAAAGGACCUGGGAGCGUGUUGCGCUCCCAGGUCGUACUGUUAGCAAUAACGUACAUUCUGUGAAUCGUUCUGUUUCUGGCGGGGGAUAGAGUACUUUUUUCAGUCUCUAUCCGUCAGCUUGGAUUUAUUUCAGGCCGUGGACAUCUCGCCAAACACUUUGCUUAACCUAUGUCUGCUUUGAAAUUUGUCUGACAUUUUUUGUAUUGAAAAUACAAACAACUUUUGGCAACGGAUCUCUUGGCUCUC
RNAcentral lists this unclassified non-coding RNA (298 nucleotides) under Spizellomyces sp. RNAcentral's name for it is "partial internal transcribed spacer region". The stretch from base 1 to 46 matches the Rfam family "Eukaryotic small subunit ribosomal RNA", at positions 1786 to 1831 of the family's 1831-position model. The record is from RNAcentral. Lineage: Eukaryota; Fungi; Chytridiomycota; Chytridiomycetes; Spizellomycetales; Spizellomycetaceae.